UACGUAGGUGGCAAGCGUUAUCCGGAUUUAUUGGGCGUAAAGCGAGUGCAGGCGGUUCAAUAAGUCUGAUGUGAAAGCCUUCGGCUCAACCGGAGAAUUGCAUCAGAAACUGUUGAACUUGAGUGCAGAAGAGGAGAGUGGAACUCCAUGUGUAGCGGUGAAAUGCGUAGAGAUUAGGAAGAACACCAGUGGCGAAGGCGACUUACUGGACUGUAACUGACGCUGAGGCAUGAGAGCAUGGGGAGCAAACAGG
This 253-nucleotide ribosomal RNA is filed under the name uncultured Lactobacillus sp. Its description in RNAcentral is "partial 16S ribosomal RNA". It matches the Rfam family "Bacterial small subunit ribosomal RNA", at positions 524 to 776 of the family's 1533-position model. Lineage: Bacteria; Bacillati; Bacillota; Bacilli; Lactobacillales; Lactobacillaceae. The record is from RNAcentral.